RNAcentral lists this non-coding RNA (29 nucleotides) under Mus musculus (house mouse). Lineage: Eukaryota; Metazoa; Chordata; Mammalia; Rodentia; Muridae. The record is from RNAcentral.
UGCCACGUGCCUUCAAGCGUUCUGUGCAC